Pocillopora damicornis (cauliflower coral) is the source of this 349-nucleotide long non-coding RNA. The record is from RefSeq and is a predicted model, not a curated record. Lineage: Eukaryota; Metazoa; Cnidaria; Anthozoa; Scleractinia; Pocilloporidae.
AUGCAUAUGAGAUCGGAUAUAGUUCUGAUGAGAUUUUCCUUGUCAUUCCUGGAUCAAAAUAGCUUUUACUGUGCACUAUUUCUUGCGUUCAUUGCUCUACAGGUUUUGCCGCCUUCGUCAGUACAACACACUUUACAUCUGUGGGACGGAUGAAUACGGCACAGCCACAGAAACCAAGGCGUUAGAGGAAGGUCUUACACCCCAACAAAUAUGUGACAAGUACUUUAAGAUUCACAAAGAAGUCUACGAAUGGUUUCAGAUCAAGUUUGACUUCUUUGGAAGGACAACUACUAAGCAACAGACUGAAAUCGCCCAAGACAUUUUCUGGCGACUCCAAAAGCAAGAUCAC